UCUGAUACCCCUCACAAGGAAAUAUUAAAGAAAAAGAUUUAAUGGUAUCACAAGUUUGGAAGCUCCCUGAUGGUGAAAAGGUAAUAAUUCCUUUUGAUGGAGUUGUACCAAUGGGAACAAAAGUUGAUGGCUUAAUUGAUGGAGUUGUACCAAGUAGGUAAUUGGCAAAAAAAAAACCUACUUGCUUCUUCCCGUGGUUUCCGGCUGCCGUCGUCGCCACUGAACCUAUUGCUCCUUUUUCCUUCAGUCAUAGAGGUAGGAGCUCACCCCUAUCACCGGCCAGCUGUUCCAGUGUUUGUGCAUCGAUGCCCGAUCCCUAAGGACCUACUGUUUCGCCAAACCAUGGCUUUCUCCCUUGUACGAACGCUCAACCCUAUCCUGCCUCUACCGUGUAGGCUCUGCAACAUCCCUCUACUCCUUCCCUGAGCGGUCAUGCCUUCUUUCCUAUAGCUGCGUGGGUCAUGCUUCGUAGGUACCUUGAGGCUCCCAAAACCAGUUGGUUUUCCUGCUUUACAGUUAACUCUCUUUCAGCUACCCCUCACAAUGGCAGAUAUGAGUGGACAAUUGAAUCCAGUACGUAGUCUUUGUCCUGGGAAGAAUACUUAGAGAAUCAGAGUCAGGGUUCUUCACUUGUGCAUUUUCCCUCCACAUUGUUCUAAUUGAUGCUGAGGGGUAAAAAAUCAAGGCAGAGUAAUGGCUGAAAUGGCUGGACCCACUAACUCUAUUAGGAGCUUUUAUUCUGUGAGAGACACGUGAAAGGCAGCUCCAUCAUUUCCGAGUUCAUUUCCUUUCCUAUUUUCUGGAAAAGGAAAACUCCAUUGUUUGAUUCCUUGUGCAAUUGAUCAGGUAUUGUCUUUGAUUAUUUUAAAUGCAACUUUUCAGGUUGAUUUCAUUUGAACGUGAACCUUUCUGGCAAUGGUGAUAUGUCAUUCCUGUGUUUCGGUAAACUUCCUUAUUCAUUUUUGGGGUCUGAAUUAUGUUCAAAAUUCUCUUCAUAUGUAUAGAUAUCGAGAGGAAAGGAAAGACAUAAAAAGAUCUAUUCCAAAUAUUUUCAUUUCUUGUCUUAGCCUUACAUGUUAUAUAACUUCACGGUAUUGUUAGAUAAGGAUCAGAUUGAGUGAGUCAUCUUUUAUCCCUGAAACUUUCAUUUGCUGGUGUAUAAACACUAAAAUAUAGCAUAUGGAAAACAUAGAAAAUGCUGUAAAAAUUCACGCUAAAGAUUUAUCAAAUUUAUUUUCUUGAUGGUUUCUGUCAACAAUAUUCAAGUUUUAUUAGGAUCCACUCUUCUAUGAUAGCAUUUUUUACUCUUUGGGGCCAAAACCAGGGUAAAUGUUCAUAUACAAAAUUCUGAAUGAUUAGCCCCAAAGAAAAAUCUGAAUGAUAAAAUUCCAAGAAGAAAUCAAUUUUGGUGAGAUUGAAUUUGAGUAAUGAAAAUUUUGAAAGUUGAAAUAAUAUACAGAUAAAGAUCGGGAAGAUUAGGGGAAAAGAGAAGAUUUUGAGAGAUUUGAGAGAAAAUUAAGCUAUUUUCUUCCCUAACCUCACCUGUAAAAAAAAACGUUCCCUAACCUCCACUAACUUACACUUUGUUUGAUAGACCUUAAUGAUAGGUAGUCAAAUCCUAUCAGUAACCUUCAUCAUUAAAUAGUAAUGUAGAGACAAAAACUGGAUGCAGUUGUCCCUCUUGAGUAGUUAUGUAUUGGGGGCUGUUCAAGUUCAUUUUGACAGAUGAAUACAAGAUUGAUUUGCAAUGCAUUAGAUCCUAGGUGAAACCAAGCCAACUUCAACAGUUAGCUCCCGAUUAUAACAUGAACAAACAGGCAUUUAUAACUAUAUGUUCAAGAUUUUGUUUGAAGAUAUUAACUGAUCUAGCACAUACUACUAGAAAUUAAUUAGUAUAAUUCCUUCUUUUAAGAAAGGAUCAACACACUUACUAACAUAAUAUAAUAUGAUAAAAUGUUUUUGGAUGUUAGAUGGCGGCUAUCUUCAUAGAAUGCUAAUUAGUAGAACACAACUUGAAUGUGAGGAAAAUGAAGGUUGAAAUGGAAAGGAUAAAAGAGGGCAUUUUACAAGUGGAUUUGUUUUGAUGCUGAAAUAAAAACAAUUGAGCUUCAUAAUCAUUUAUUAAUUGUGGAGAUACAAUCAUUCAUAACAAUCUAAUUAAUUAGUUAGUUGCAUGAUAAAGAGGACAAUAUAUCAAUCAGCAACCAAACUUUGGUAAAACGGAGUCAAAUAAAAGAGAUGAAGUAUUACAAAUGAUCAUGUCAAUUUGAUGCUGAUUUGUUGGCUGAAACAGUUACAAUGAGAAAGCAAUGAAAACAGCUUUUAAAGUAGAUGAAGCCAUCAAAAGUACAUUGGGGAGAAAAAGGAUAGCUAUGUCAAGACUUGAAAAAUCAACCAUUGUUAUGGUUCUAAUACAAAAUGAACCUACCAAAGUUGAUAGUGAGUCCACUGCAUUGGCUGUGCUCUUUUCAGUGUAUAACUAUCAAGAGGAAAAACAUGACUGAAUGGUUGUCAUUAAAAUUUAAAACAACAAUGAUCGCUAGUAGUUUAAUAUCAUGCACUUUCUUUACUGAUCUUUAAUAAUAUUUUACCUAAUCAUUUUCUCUUCUUCAUAAAGCUUAAAGUUUUCCAUUUGUUAUGUUAUUGACCCCUUCUUCUAAGUUGACAGUGAUUUUGAUGAGAAUAGAUUAUGUUCAUUUGUCUGCUCGGUGUCCACUAUUCUUUAAGAUCACUAAUACAAGUAUAAUUUGUAAUAGAUAAAUCAUAAAUUUUUCAUCAAAAUAAAAAAAAGUAAAUGAAAGCAAGUCUAGCACAUCAUUUCCUGGAUGAAGACAGACUCUCUGGCUUCAUUCUGCUUACUCUGUGAUGUGUUUGCAAAUAUUAACCUGUAGAUAUGUAUUUACUAUACUUGAUCAUUAUUACUAUGAUUUUGUUGUUGAUAGAAUGAUGUUUGCAACACUUGGUCAUUAGCGAACCAAUACAUGCUGAAGGGAAGUGGAAAAUCCCAGAUGAAACAUAUAUCAAUACCUUAAAAAAAGGUCUGUAUAGGGGAAAAGAAGUCAUUGGAAUACAACCAGCUUAUUAUAAGAAGUAUUUGCAAAUUAUGAUCAAAAGCGGAAGAAACCAGUCAGUAUAUUGCCUCUGACAUCGUCAAGGGAUUCUAAUAGAAGUCAAAUUACUGCUUCCCAGUGAAAGUUUGAGGAUUUGAAAGUUGCUAUCGGUGGAUUACCUAAACAAUCAAUUGUAUAACUUCCAAUUUUUUUUCACAUGUAUUUUCACAGAUUAUUGAAAGCUCCCUUCCCCGAAAAUUUCCAUGUUUAACUUAGUAUAAUAGUAUUUAUUAUUCAUCCUAGGAGUUUGAUUUAACAGGUGGAAUAGAAAAGCAAAAUUAAUGACAUUGGUGGGGGUA
Lotus japonicus is the source of this 3409-nucleotide long non-coding RNA. RefSeq lists it as uncharacterized. The transcript has 4 exons. NCBI's taxonomy places the organism in Eukaryota, Viridiplantae, Streptophyta, Magnoliopsida, Fabales, Fabaceae. The record is from RefSeq and is a predicted model, not a curated record.